RNAcentral lists this ribosomal RNA (1781 nucleotides) under Candidatus Babelota bacterium. RNAcentral describes it as "partial 23S ribosomal RNA". It matches the Rfam family "Bacterial large subunit ribosomal RNA", at positions 868 to 2925 of the family's 2925-position model. The record is from RNAcentral.
AUUUAGGUAUAGCCUUGUUGGAUGAAUUGUGGUGGUAAAGUAACAGUCAUAGCUUUGGGGGCGCAAGCUUACCAGGCUUCAGCUAACUCUGAAUGCCAUAAUUUUUGAAAACAGGAGUCAGACUGUGGGGGAUAANNGCGUAACAGCUCACUGGUCAAGUAUUUUUGCGCUGAAAAACAAACGGGGCUAAACGUGCUACCGAAACUAUGGCUUGCAUAUCUGUUCGCAGAUAUGCAGGGGUAGGGGAGCGUUCUUUAAUAGAUACAAGCUUGACCGUAAGGACAGGUGAUGUGGAUUAAAGAAGUGAGAAUGUUGGUAUAAGUAACGAAAAAAUAGGUGAAAAUCCUAUUCGCCGAAAGUCUAAGGUUUCCGUGAGAACGGUUUAUCCACUCAGGGUUAGUCGAUACCUAAGCCGAGGCCAAUUGGAGUAGGCGAUGGAAAGCAGGCUAAAAAUUCCUGCACCACUCAUAAGCGUUUGAACGAAGGAGUGACGCAGUAGGAUAGGCUGACGUGGACUUUGGUUUGCCACGCUAAGCGUCGAGAAGGAUAUUGUAGGCAAAUCCGCAGUAUCAUUAACUUUGAGGCGUGAUGGGCAUACUAAUUUUUAGGAAGAAGUAUGUUUGGCUGAUUUCACACUGACUAGAAAAGCUUCUAGUGAGCUUUGUGAGUGAUCGUACCGUAAACCGACACAGGUAGACGGGCUGAGAAUGCUCAGGCGUUGAGAUAACUAUCACUAAGGAACUCGGCAAACUAGCUCCGUAACUUCGGGAUAAGGAGUGCCUAGAAUGUAUACUUGUUCUUUUAGGAUUAGGAAAGCGUUUUUAGGUUUCAACAAAGAGGCCCAAGCGACUGUUUAACAAAAACACAGGGCUCUGCGAACUCGUAAGAGGAAGUAUAGAGUCUGACGCCUGCCCAGUGCUGGAAGGUUAACGGGAGAUGUUAGUCUUCGGACAAAGCGUUGAACUGAAGCCCCAGUAAACGNNGUCCUAAGGUAGCGAAAUUCCUUGUCGGGUAAAUUCCGACCCGCAUGAAUGGCGUAACGAUUUGGGCGCUGUCUUGGUGAUAGACUCAGUGAAUUUGUAGUACCGGUGAAAAUGCCGGUUACCCGCGACAGGACGGAAAGACCCCGUGCACCUUUACUAUAACUUGGCAUUGCUUUCUGGAUUUGUUUGUGUAGGAUAGGCGGGAGACUUUGAUGCUAUGGCGCUAGCUGUAGCGGAGUCGACCUUGAAAUACCGCCCUUAGAAAUUUGGAAAUCUAACUUUGAAUUCCCGUAAACCGGGCAAAGGACAGUGUCUGGUGGGUAGUUUGACUGGGGUGGUCGCCUCCUAAAUUGUAACGGAGGCGUUCUAAGGUUCCCUCAUGACGAAUAGUAAUCGUCGGAAGAGUGUAAAAGCUGAAGGGAGCUUGACUGCGAGACAUACAGGUCGAGCAGGUGCGAAAGCAGGAUUUAGUGAUCCAGCUGUUCCGAAUGGAAGGGCAGUUGCUCAACGGAUAAAAGGUACGCCGGGGAUAACAGGCUUAUCUCCUCUGAGAGUCCCUAUCGACGAGGAGGUUUGGCACCUCGAUGUCGGCUCAUCGCAUCCUGGGGNNNNNNNNNNNNNNNNNNNNNNNNNNNNNNNNNNNNNNNNNNNAGCAUCUAAGCGGGAAGCCAACUCCAAGAUAAGAUAUCCCAUCUAUUUAUAGACUAAAGACCCCUUGAAGACUACAAGGUUGAUAGGCUGGGUGUGUAAGCACAGUAAUGUGUUCAGCUAACCAGUACUAAUAGGUCGAAUGUUUUA